AUACUUGCCUGGCAGGGGAGAUACCAUGAUCACGAAGGUGGUUUUCCCAGGGUGAGGCUUAUUUAUUGCACUCUGGAUGUGCUGACCCCUGUGAUUUCCUCAAAUGUGAGGAAUUCUACUGCAUAAUUUGUGGUGGUGGGGGACUGUGUGCUCUCCUG
This 158-nucleotide small nuclear RNA is filed under the name Myotis brandtii (Brandt's bat). RNAcentral's name for it is "U1 spliceosomal RNA". It matches the Rfam family "U1 spliceosomal RNA". From Rfam's summary of the family: U1 is a small nuclear RNA (snRNA) component of the spliceosome (involved in pre-mRNA splicing). Its 5' end forms complementary base pairs with the 5' splice junction, thus defining the 5' donor site of an intron. Lineage: Eukaryota; Metazoa; Chordata; Mammalia; Chiroptera; Vespertilionidae. The record is from Rfam by way of RNAcentral.